RNAcentral lists this microRNA (22 nucleotides) under Oreochromis niloticus (Nile tilapia). Its description in RNAcentral is "oni-miR-10626". The record is from miRBase by way of RNAcentral. Lineage: Eukaryota; Metazoa; Chordata; Actinopteri; Cichliformes; Cichlidae.
UUAGAGUGCACUGUCUCAAACU